GAUUCUACUAGGAAACAUGGUAAUUUUCAUCUGAACUGGAAAUUAAGACUGCCAUUUAGCCACUUUGAGCUCUAUGCCCCUGAAGAAUAGACAGGAGAGUUACUGUGCUGGCUAGGGUGUAUUAUCCUAACUACUGAGGGCAGAUUGUACUGAUACUCCAUCAUGGAGGUAAAACAAGGGUACAUCUAAAACACAGGUGAUUCCUUAGGACAUCCCUCAGUAUGUUUUAUUAUACUCUGGUUGGUCUGUGGAAAUAUGACCCAAUGCAGGCAGAACUUCUAAUGGCCCCCACCCUUCAGGAAGAAAGUUUUAGGUCACCACUUCAAAUGAAGAACCACAGUCAGAUAAGGUGCUUGCUGAGGGCAAAAAGAAUAUGGAAUGGGCCGUGGAAUAAAUUGGUUAUAAAUGUAUCAAUCACUGCAUGACCAGAUACGGAAAUGAUAUCUAUAUUUGUCAUGAUUAAUUCUUCUUAUUGUUACAGUUGGAUCUAGACUGUCCCCCCAAAGUCUCAUGUUUUGAAAGUAUGGUCCCCAAUGCAUCCAGGUUCAGAGUUGGGACUUUUAGGCAAUGAUUGAUCAUGUGGGUUCUGACCUCAUCUGUGGAUUAAUCCACCUAUUAAUCCAUUGAUUAAUGGAGAGCUGAAUGGACUACUUAGAGGUAGAACUUAGUUGUGGGAAGUAGGUCACUGGAGGUGAGCCCUGGAAGGGCUCCAGGCCCUUCCCCUCUCUGCUUCCAGGCUGCCAUGACCUGGGAAGCUUUCUUCCACCACUCCCUCUGCCCUGAUGUUCUGCCUUGCUUCAGGCCCCACACAAUGGACCUGCCCACCAGGGACUGAAUCCUGUAAAACUGUGAGGCAAAAUAAAUCUUCACAACUGUAAGUUGUUUUUUUCAGGUAUUUGUCACAGUAGUGAAAGGUUAACACACUUGUUUUGUCAUGAAUGUGUUUGUUAACUUUUCAUUACUAUGACAAAAACAUCUAAGAAAAUAAUUUAUGGGGCUGGGGAUGUGGCUCAAGUGGU
This 1019-nucleotide long non-coding RNA is filed under the name Marmota monax (woodchuck). Lineage: Eukaryota; Metazoa; Chordata; Mammalia; Rodentia; Sciuridae. The record is from RNAcentral.